RNAcentral lists this long non-coding RNA (458 nucleotides) under Theobroma cacao (cacao). Its description in RNAcentral is "long non-coding RNA (TCAC_LNC003367)". Lineage: Eukaryota; Viridiplantae; Streptophyta; Magnoliopsida; Malvales; Malvaceae. The record is from RNAcentral.
GAAAGAAUGGACCAAGCACUACAAGCUGCGCUUGCAAAUAAAACAUAGCACACAUUGUCCAUUGAGAAAGAACACGUACUUACUACAGCAGAGGCAUAUCUUCUGAUGAUAUUCUAGCUUCCUGUUCUUGUUCACACUUCUUAUCAUUGUCACUUAUUAUCUUCCCACAUAAAGCAUCAUUCUGCACCUUGAGGACUUUAUUUUCAAUUCUCAGUCUUGCAUUCUCAGCCUCAAGCAGUGAUAAGUUAUUAAGAUUGGCAUUCUUCCUCAGUGAAGCGUUUUCAUCUUUUAGCUUCUCAUUUUCAAGACGCAGUGGAUCGGCCUACAAUGAAAACUACAGAUUUAAAAAUAAAUACCAGCAUAAGCUCAAACAUGUAUGAGAGCAUCGAAUGUUGUCUUUUUGGAAUGAGCUUACGGUAAUAAAAGCUCAAAAUCAUUUGAACUAAAGUUUAUUAACA